RNAcentral lists this ribosomal RNA (210 nucleotides) under Clostridioides difficile. RNAcentral describes it as "partial 23S ribosomal RNA". It matches the Rfam family "Bacterial large subunit ribosomal RNA", at positions 1528 to 1738 of the family's 2925-position model. Lineage: Bacteria; Bacillati; Bacillota; Clostridia; Peptostreptococcales; Peptostreptococcaceae. The record is from RNAcentral.
CAAAGUAGGCGAAUCCGCUUGGAGGAGGCUGGGGUGUGAUAGAGAGCGAAAUUUAACAGAGAAGUAGCAGAUUUCACACUGACGAGAAAAGGCUCUAUCGAGGAUAAAAGUAACCGUGCCGCAAACCGGAACUGGUGGGUGAGGAGAGAAUCGUAAGACAAGCGAGAGGACUGUUGUUAAGGAACUCGGCAAAAUGACCCCGUAACUUAG